AGAGAUGCGAGAGGCGCUGGCCUGAGCGCCUCCGGCCACCUCCUUCUACCUCCGGGCCCUAGGCGCCCGAUCCACCUGCCUAUCUGACCACAGACAUCUUCCCACAAAACAGUGGAGCUUUUUGAAUCUUUGAAGAGAGUCUUCAGAUCUUUUAUCUAAGCAUCUUUGUGAAGCAAAGAAUAAACGGGUAUCUGAGGCCAGCUCGAAAGUUAGGAAAUAAAAUCAGGGUCUUCUACCAGAACAGAGAGAUGAUGCUUUCUGUAAUUUAUUUUGUAUUCAUUCAGUGCACCAAAUUAUCUUAUUACUUGUUUUUUCAUGAGUCCCUUGGAUUUUCCAAGAAAACAGGCAUAUCAGCAAUAUCAAGAACUUUGUUUCUGGCUGGGCACAAUGGCUUAUGCCAGUAAUCCCAACACUUCGGAAGGCCAGCGUGAAAGGAACACUUGACCCCAGGAAUUUGAGACCAGCCUGGGCAACAUAAGGAGAUCUGUCUCUAUAAAAAAUAAGAAAUUAGCUGUGCGUGGUGGCACCAGCCUACAGUCCCAGCUACUCAGGAGGCCAAUGUGGGAAGAUCCCUUAGUCCAGGAGUUCAAGGCUGCAGUGAGCCUUGAUCACGCCACUGGCUCCACUCCGAGCAACAGAGUGAG
RNAcentral lists this long non-coding RNA (644 nucleotides) under Homo sapiens (human). RNAcentral describes it as "HSALNT0293444". Lineage: Eukaryota; Metazoa; Chordata; Mammalia; Primates; Hominidae. The record is from RNAcentral.